AUUGAACGCUGGCGGAAUGCUUUACACAUGCAAGUCGAACGGCAGCACGGGUGCUUGCACCUGGUGGCGAGUGGCGAACGGGUGAGUAAUGCACCGGAACGUAUCCAAUAAUGGGGGAUAACGCACCGAAAGGUGUGCUAAUACCGCAUACGCCCUGAGGGGGAAAGCGGGGGAUCGUAAGACCUCGCGUUAAUGGAGCGGCCGAUGCCGGAUUAGCUAGUUGGUGAGGUAAAGGCUCACCAAGGCGACGAUCCGUAGCUGGUCUGAGAGGACGACCAGCCACACUGGAACUGAGACACGGUCCAGACUCCUACGGGAGGCAGCAGUGGGGAAUUUUGGACAAUGGGCGCAAGCCUGAUCCAGCCAUUCCGCGUGAGUGAAGAAGGCCUUCGGUUGU
Molecule: ribosomal RNA, 397 nt
Filed under: uncultured bacterium
Lineage: Bacteria
Description: bacterial SSU rRNA
Rfam family: Bacterial small subunit ribosomal RNA
Source: RNAcentral